GACGAACGCUGGCGGCGUGCUUAACACAUGCAAGUCGAACGGUGAAGCUCCAGCUUGCUGGCGUGGAUCAGUGGCGAACGGGUGAGUAACACGUGAGCAACCUGCCCCAGACUCUGGAAUAAGCGCUGGAAACGGCGUCUAAUACUGGAUACGAGAUCAAGCCGCAUGGUUAUGGUCUGGAAAGUUUUUCGGUUUGGGAUGGGCUCGCGGCCUAUCAGCUUGUUGGUGAGGUAAUGGCUCACCAAGGCGACGACGGGUAGCCGGCCUGAGAGGGCGACCGGCCACACUGGGACUGAGACACGGCCCAGACUCCUACGGGAGGCAGCAGUGGGGAAUAUUGCACAAUGGGCGAAAGCCUGAUGCAGCGACGCCGCGUGAGGGAUGACGGCCUUCGGGUUGUAAACCUCUUUCAGCAGGGAAGAAGCGAAAGUGACGGUACCUGCAGAAGAAACACCGGCUAACUACGU
RNAcentral lists this ribosomal RNA (467 nucleotides) under uncultured bacterium. Its description in RNAcentral is "partial 16S ribosomal RNA". It matches the Rfam family "Bacterial small subunit ribosomal RNA", at positions 28 to 506 of the family's 1533-position model. The record is from RNAcentral.